AUUAAAUUAUAUUUAAUUAGACUUAAUCUUAACCUAUUGAAUUAAUUAAAUUAAGUUAAUUAGCAAUCAAAUUACUAAUCGAUCCUCCUGCAACACUUGCACUAGGUUAAAUAUCAAUCGUAUUGAUCGUUUAACCCUAGAACAAUUCUUAAUCGUUGAUCAACCAUCUGAUCGGAUCGUGAUCUCUAAUGUGUGUGAUCUCAUAGGUCCGAACCUAAGCUGGUAGUAUAAGAAUAAAUUUCAGUACCAAUCGAAGUGACCAUUUAGCAAUGGUACCC
This 278-nucleotide long non-coding RNA is filed under the name Elaeis guineensis (African oil palm). RNAcentral's name for it is "long non-coding RNA (EGUI_LNC044367)". Lineage: Eukaryota; Viridiplantae; Streptophyta; Magnoliopsida; Arecales; Arecaceae. The record is from RNAcentral.